Molecule: microRNA precursor, 103 nt
Filed under: Marmota monax (woodchuck)
Lineage: Eukaryota; Metazoa; Chordata; Mammalia; Rodentia; Sciuridae
Source: RNAcentral
GUAAGAAUCACUGGUGAUCUUAUUAAACUAUAAAUUCUAAUUCAGAAGGUCUGGGUAGGGCCUGAGAGUCUACAUUUCCAAUAAGCUCCCAGGUGAUACCGAU